AAGCCGGAAUUGCUAGUAAUGGCAGGUCAGCAUACUGCCGUGAAUACGUUCCCGGGCCUUGUACACACCGCCCGUCACACCAUGAGAGUUGGAGAUACCCGAAGCCUGUGAGCUAACAAACGAGGCAGCAGUCGAAGGUAGAAUCAAUGAUUGGGGUGAAGUCGUAACAAGGUACC
RNAcentral lists this ribosomal RNA (176 nucleotides) under uncultured bacterium. RNAcentral's name for it is "partial 16S ribosomal RNA". It matches the Rfam family "Bacterial small subunit ribosomal RNA", at positions 1323 to 1500 of the family's 1533-position model. The record is from RNAcentral.